Long non-coding RNA from Bubalus bubalis (water buffalo), 1138 nucleotides. RefSeq lists it as uncharacterized. The record is from RefSeq and is a predicted model, not a curated record. The transcript is spliced from 3 exons. NCBI's taxonomy places the organism in Eukaryota, Metazoa, Chordata, Mammalia, Artiodactyla, Bovidae.
UCUCCCCUAGAGCAAAGACUGUUAUCACCUUCUCACAGUUCUCAGCACACGGUGGGGAGUCACUCUGGGACCUUAUUUCAGACAUGUCAGAUUCCUCGUCCAUCAAACCCUUGAUGUCUCGGUUGCUGACUCCAGGCUGUCUCUCCAGUCUUGAAGGACCCAAAAAGGGAGAAAAAUGGUUCCCAGAGCGUUUGGCUUGGAAGCUAUUGUUUGCAGAACUAUCUACAAAAGGAAAUGGCAACACACUCCAGUAUUCUUGCCUGGAGAAUUCCAUGGACAGAGGAGCCUGGCAGGCUACAGUCCACGCGGUCGCAAAGAGUCAGACACGACUGAGCGACACUAUCACUCAUUCAGUAUUCUGAUUCACUUAGAAACCAGACAUCUAUUGGGUCUAAUGAAUAAUUAUCAAAUCAUUUUAAAAGCAAACAGAAUUAGCAAGAUGUUUUGUGACCUUUAUUCAACAAACAAUUAUUUUCCCAUUAUUCUGAAUUCUCAUGAACGAUACAUGAAUGAUGGAACUUAUGGGAAAAUUUUUAAAAAACAAUCAAACAAACAAAAAGCCAAAACCUGACAUCCUGUAUUAGCCAACUGUGAGAACAAAGUGUAGCAGAUUAUAAGAAGAAUCUAAUUCAAGUUUGGAGGUAAGACCCUCCAAAGUGUUCUGGUGGUAUGUUAAUAAAAUGUUUUAGCUGUUACAUAGGUGUUGAUAGCAAUCUUUAAAUGUUCUGGGUGGAGCAUUUCAUUACAAAGCAUGCUCAAGGAAGAUUAAGAAUGGAUCAUCAGGGAACAAAGUCACACAGAGAAAAACAAAUGAUAUUGUUUAUACGUGGAAUCUAAAAAAAUGAUAGACGUGAACUUAUUUGCAACACGGAAAUGGAGUCACAGAUGUAGAAAACAGACUUAUGGUUACCAGAGGGGAAAGGAGUGGGGAGGGAUAAGCUGGAAGAUUGAGAUUGACAUAUACACAUUAUUGUAUGUAAACUACCUAAUAAAGAUCUACCAUUUAGCACAGAGAACUUUUCUCAAUACGCUAUAAUGACCUAUAUGGGAAAGACAUCCAAAUGAGAGGAUAUAUGCAUGUGUAUACCUGAUUCACUUUGCUGUACCACAGAAACUAAUAAUUUUUAGACUAAUUAUA